AGUGAACGCUGGCGGUAGGCCUAACACAUGCAAGUCGAACGGCCGCACAGUAAGAGCUUGCUCUUACGGGUGGCGAGUGGCGGACGGGUGAGGCAUACAUCGGAAUCUUCUUUUUCGUGGGGGAUAACGGAGGGCAACUUACGCUAAUACCGAAUACUACCUGCGGGUUAAAGCAAGGGAUCUUCGGACCUUUCGCGAUUGAAUGAGCUGAUGUCGGAUUAGCUAGUUGGCUGGGUAAAGGCCCACCAAGGCGACGAUCCGUAGCUGGUCUGAGAGGAUGAUCAGCCACACUGGAACUGAGACACGGUCCAGACUCCUACGGGAGGCAGCAGUGGGGAAUAUUGGACAAUGGGCGCAAGCCUGAUCCAGCAAUACCGCGUGAGUGAAGAAGGCCUUCGGGUUGUAAAGCCCUGUUGUUGGGAAAGAAAAGCAGUAGGUUAAUACCCCGCUGUUCUGACGGUACCCAAAGAAUAAGCACCGGCUAACUUCGUG
This 492-nucleotide ribosomal RNA is filed under the name uncultured bacterium. RNAcentral describes it as "partial 16S ribosomal RNA". It matches the Rfam family "Bacterial small subunit ribosomal RNA", at positions 29 to 507 of the family's 1533-position model. The record is from RNAcentral.